CGCAAGCCUGACGGAGCAACGCCGCGUGAUGGAUGAAGGCCCCUGGGCUGUAAACCUCUUUUAUCAAGGAAGAAGAUCUGACGGUACUUGAUGAAUAAGCCACGGCUAAUUCCGUGCCAGCAGCCGCGGUAAUACGGGAGCGGCAAGCGUUAUCCGGAAUUAUUGGGCGUAAAGCGUCCGCAGGCGGUCUUGAAAGUCUGUCGUUAAAGCGUGGAGCUCAACUCCAUUUCAGCAAUGGAAACUACAAGACUAGAGUGUGGUAGGGGCAGAGGGAAUUCCCGGUGUAGCGGUGAAAUGCGUAGAUAUCGGGAAGAACACCAGUGGCGAAGGCGCUCUGCUGGGCCAUAACUGACGCUCAUGGACGAAAGCCAGGGGAGCG
RNAcentral lists this ribosomal RNA (379 nucleotides) under uncultured cyanobacterium. Its description in RNAcentral is "bacterial SSU rRNA". It matches the Rfam family "Bacterial small subunit ribosomal RNA", at positions 376 to 770 of the family's 1533-position model. Lineage: Bacteria; Bacillati; Cyanobacteriota. The record is from RNAcentral.